AGACGGAGGGGGCUAGCGUUGUUCGGAAUUACUGGGCGUAAAGCGCGCGUAGGCGGACCAUCAAGUUGGGCGUGAAAGCCCUGGGCUCAACCCAGGAAUUGCGCUCGAAACUGGUGGACUAGAGUCCGGGAGAGGAUAGUGGAAUUCCCAGUGUAGAGGUGAAAUUCGUAGAUAUUGGGAAGAACACCAGUGGCGAAGGCGGCUAUCUGGACCGGUACUGACGCUGAGGUGCGAAAGCGUGGGGAGCAAACAGGAUUAGAUACCCCGGUAGUCC
RNAcentral lists this ribosomal RNA (274 nucleotides) under uncultured bacterium. RNAcentral describes it as "partial 16S ribosomal RNA". It matches the Rfam family "Bacterial small subunit ribosomal RNA", at positions 523 to 796 of the family's 1533-position model. The record is from RNAcentral.